CUGCAGUUAUAUCAAGCAUUGACCUUUAGGCUGCGUUUGGUUCCCAAACUCAGCUGAGUUCAAUUUAACUUUAAGCUGAGUGUAACAUCCAAACAUUCAACUGUCAAAUUACUAAACUCAUCACAACUCAAAACCUUCUUACACUUGAGACCCACAACCUUUUUCAACUUCAAACAUAUUUAUACGUGGGACC
This is a long non-coding RNA of Juglans microcarpa x Juglans regia, 193 nucleotides long. RefSeq lists it as uncharacterized. The transcript has 4 exons. The record is from RefSeq and is a predicted model, not a curated record. Lineage: Eukaryota; Viridiplantae; Streptophyta; Magnoliopsida; Fagales; Juglandaceae.